Long non-coding RNA from Cyprinus carpio carpio, 2846 nucleotides. Lineage: Eukaryota; Metazoa; Chordata; Actinopteri; Cypriniformes; Cyprinidae. The record is from Ensembl.
CAGUCUAAGUUUACAACCCAAGACCUCCAACUUCACGUAAGAUGCAAAUUUAUAUUUCAAUCUUGACUUUGUCUCCAAAAAUUUAGGUAAUCUAAGUAAUCCAAAACAAUAAUAAUAAUAAUAAUAAUAAUAAUAAUAAUAAUAAUAAUAAUAAUUAUUAUUAUUAUUAUUAUUAUUAUUAUUAUUAUUAUUAUUAGCCUUUAAAUGUUCAUGAAUUAUGUUUCAAUAUGAACUCAAGUCCUAAAAAAUAUAUUUUGUUUGUUCUGCAGGAGCACUUCAAACCAGAUUGAUGGCAGGAUGGAAUACAGCUUCCAGGAUGGAGAUGUCAUACAACCAGUCAGCUUCCUCAAUGAGCUACGUCUACCAACCACUACAACAGUGUUUCCGGAAGCAACAACCAGUGUUUCUGUUACUACUCCCAAUCUCAUGUAAAUUUGGGUUUUCUGUUUUGAGAAAAAUCAAUAAUUGAGAAGUCAUGAUUUUGUUGCAAACAUUUGAUGAAAAUUAAACAAAAGUGGUUAUAUUUACAGAUCUGGUUCAGCAGUGGUCACAAGCAAGCUGGUGUUCAACUCCUCAUCUCCAGUCCCCAGUGAAUCUCUGGUCCUCAAUGCAAUCAAAACUCUGCGUAAUUCCAGAGAGUCACAGCUCAAUGAAUCGGUGAAGGUGGUGAAUGUCACCUAUGAGAAAAUCUCAGAAACCUCCUAUGCUGUGGUCUUUACAUUUAACGUCAUUAACAUCAGUAUGCCAGAGGACCCUAAGUCUAGAGGCAACACCAACCAACAAUUGCAGGAUACCAUCAAUAAUGCGGUAAACUUAAAAUAAUGAACAGUGUAAAAAGGCUUAGGUUCAAUGCCAGUUUUCACGAGAAACUGAUGAAUGGUUUGAUUUAUCUCGUGCAGCUGAACACUCUUCUGAACGAACCUGGCAGUCCAAAUUUACAACCCAAGUCAUCAAACUUCAAGAAUACAUUAAAUCAGAUUGAGGGCAGUAUGGCGUACAUCUUCCAAGAUACAGGUGCCAUAAAACCAGUCAGCUUCUUACAGGCACUUAAUUCAUUGACAGUCUUAACGACAGCCAGCACUCUGACAACAAGCGCAACUUCUCCACCAACAUUGUUGGGGAAGGUUUAUAUAAAUAUUCGAUUGGUAUUUAACACAUUGGGCCAAAUACCAAGUGAAACUAUCAUUCUACAGUUGGCCAAAUCUUUGAUUGGCCCACGUUACAGAACUAAAGAUGUCUCAACACCAACCCAAGAUGCGAGCCUUAUGAAUGUCACCUAUACAAGAAUUAAUGAUACCUCCUAUGCGCUCACAUUUGGAUUUGAAAUCAGCAAUAUAUCCAUAGCUGAGAAAAUUGAACUAAGGAAUGAAACUUACACUUCAAUCAAAAGCACUAUAAAUGAAUUGCUUAUCGAAAUCCUAAAGGACCCCUCAGCUUCUCAGUUUGAUCUCCAUCAUGUUGAAUUCAAGGAUAAUAGCACAGUAAUUCUGGCCAGUGUUCAGUAUGUUUUCUCAGAAAGUGACUUGAACACAAACAGCACCUUUGUCCAGAAAAUAUUCAAAGCUAAUGAAGUCUUGACGACAGCCAGCACUCUGACAACAACUUCUCCACCAAACUUGCUUGGGAAAGUGAUCAUAUACAUCAGGCUUGUGUUUAGAACGCGGGGUACUAUACCAAGUCAGAGUAACGUUAUACAUGUAGCUAACACUCUGUUGAAUGGAAUGAAACUGAGAACUAAACGAGCCCUUACAACAAAAGAUCUGACUGAACUUGUGAGCUUUGUGAAUGUCACCUAUACAAAAAUUGAUGAUACCUCCUUCUCUCUUAACUUUGGAUUUGAAAUCAGCAAUGUGUCCAUCUCAGAGAAACUUGAAUUCAGGAAUGAGACCUACAAAGUGAUCCAGAACUAUAUUAAUUCAUUUGUAUCCACAAUACUAAAUAAAACAACAACUACUGACUUUAAUUUCAAUCAAAUCAUUUUCAAGGGUAAUUCCACUGUGAUUGAGGCCAGCGUAGAGUAUGUCUUCACAGACACUGACAUCGGCAGUUUCGGCUUGGUCACAACUUUGCUCGGACUUACUACAACAGCCGCUCCAACCACCUUUUACCCCACAAUUCUGCACACUACAAUCUCAAACAACAGUACUAAUGCAGCAUGGAUUGUGGCUAUCAUUGUCCCCUGUGCUAUUGUCAUCGGGCUCGUACCUUGCUGGAUUCUUCUUUGUUGUUUGCUGUGUGGUUGCUGUGCAGCAAUCAGAAGACGUUGGCACAGAAGACGGUCAUACAAUGUGCAGUACACCACUCGAAACAGUCUCUUCUAGAGAUAUUCAAAAACAAACUUUGACACAUAAAAGUUUAUUAAUUUUCCUGUAUUGCUGGGCAUACCUGACCUCUCCAAAUGUGAUGCAACUUUGAUUAAAAAAAAAGACUAUUUAUGGAAUGAUUUUAUUUAUUUGUAAAUUCUGUUAUGUAAAGUAAUGAUGAUCUUGCUUUCUAAAUGAAAGAUUUAUUUGGUAGUAUGUAUCUAAUGUUAAGGGAAAAAUGUAGAAUGUGUUUAUUCACACUUCAUGUACUUUAUCUUUAUCUAAAAUAAUAUAUUGCACCCUGAUGACAUAUUUAUGUGCCAUUCCACAAUUAAUGUUUUAAGACUGUGUAGUUAAAAACUAAUUUAAUAAAAAACAAUUCAAUAUCAAUAUGAGAACAUUAUUGUAUCCAUCAUUUUUGAUAUAUACUACAGUAUACAGAGCUUUUACGCUUUAAUAUGUUUGAAGAUUCAUUUUCACCGAUCCAUGCUGUCUGAUAAAUGAUCUACCAAAGACAGAAUGGUUAUGAUGAUUGGUUAGUGU